This 253-nucleotide ribosomal RNA is filed under the name uncultured bacterium. Its description in RNAcentral is "partial 16S ribosomal RNA". It matches the Rfam family "Bacterial small subunit ribosomal RNA", at positions 524 to 776 of the family's 1533-position model. The record is from RNAcentral.
UACGUAGGGGGCUAGCGUUGUCCGGAUUUAUUGGGCGUAAAGAGCGUGUAGGCGGCCAUGUAGGUCCGGUGUGAAAACUCGAGGCUUAACCUCGAGAUGUCAUCGGAAACCAUUUGGCUAGAGGAUGGUAGAGGCGAGUGGAAUUCCCGGUGUAGCGGUGAAAUGCGCAGAUAUCGGGAGGAACACCAGUAGCGAAGGCGGCUCGCUGGGCCAUUCCUGACGCUGAGACGCGAAAGCUAGGGGAGCGAACAGG